GAUGAACGCUGGCGGCGUGCCUAACACAUGCAAGUCGAGCGGCAGCGAGGGGUGCUUGCACCCUGUCGGCGAGCGGCGGACGGCUGAGUAACGCGUGGGAACGUGCCCCAAAGUGAGGAAUAACUGCCCGAAAGGGUAGCUAAUACCGCAUAUUAUCUUCGGAUCAAAGGAUUUAUCCGCUUUGGGAGCGGCUCGCGUCGGAUUAGGUAGUUGGUGAGGUAAUGGCUCACCAAGCCGACGAUCCGUAGCUGGUCUGAGAGGAUGACCAGCCAGACUGGAACUGAGACACGGUCCAGACUCCUACGGGAGGCAGCAGUGAGGAAUCUUCCACAAUGGGCGAAAGCCUGAUGGAGCAACGCCGCGUGCAGGACGAAGGCCUUCGGGUUGUAAACUGCUUUUAUAAGUGAGGAAUAUGACGGUAACUUAUGAAUAAGGAACGGCUAACUACGUG
This 451-nucleotide ribosomal RNA is filed under the name uncultured bacterium. Its description in RNAcentral is "partial 16S ribosomal RNA". It matches the Rfam family "Bacterial small subunit ribosomal RNA", at positions 28 to 507 of the family's 1533-position model. The record is from RNAcentral.